UCAAUCAUUUAUUGAUGAAAGUGAAGCUGCAUUAACUCGUCUUGGUGUCUUGUGCUGUUCGAAGCGUCCUUUCACAUGGGAACACGGACAACAGCAGAAAACAGACACCUGUAAGGUGAAGUCUCUCUGCAGGAGGAUGUAGCAGGUUACUCAUUUGAACCCUCGGGCUGGCAGAAUGAUGCUGUGGUUGGGCCCCUGAGUAAGGCCCCUAACCUCCAGCUCCAGGAGCACUGCACACUGGCCGACCCUGCACUGUAACCCCCAUGCCUGCUGUCACCUGUACAUGUAUCUGUGUGUCACAUAUGGGCUGCAACUACGAAUUAGGAUGUGGCCAGACACCUGUCUUUGCGUGGUUGUGGCCCCCCCGGAAACCGUCUUCCA
This is a long non-coding RNA of Brienomyrus brachyistius, 381 nucleotides long. RefSeq lists it as uncharacterized. NCBI's taxonomy places the organism in Eukaryota, Metazoa, Chordata, Actinopteri, Osteoglossiformes, Mormyridae. The transcript is spliced from 4 exons. The record is from RefSeq and is a predicted model, not a curated record.